Molecule: ribosomal RNA, 484 nt
Filed under: uncultured bacterium
Lineage: Bacteria
Description: partial 16S ribosomal RNA
Rfam family: Bacterial small subunit ribosomal RNA
Source: RNAcentral
AUUGAACGCUGGCGGAAUGCUUUACACAUGCAAGUCGAACGGCAGCACGGGGGCAGCCCUGGUGGCGAGUGGCGAACGGGUGAGUAAUACAUCGGAACGUGCCCGGUCGUGGGGGAUAACGUAGCGAAAGAUACGCUAAUACCGCAUACGAUCUGAGGAUGAAAGCGGGGGACCUUCGGGCCUCGCGCGAUCGGAGCGGCCGAUGUCAGAUUAGGUAGUUGGUGGGGUAAAGGCCUACCAAGCCGACGAUCUGCAGCUGGUCUGAGAGGACGACCAGCCACACUGGGACUGAGACACGGCCCAGACUCCUACGGGAGGCAGCAGUGGGGAAUGUUGGACAAUGGGCGCAAGCCUGAUCCAGCCAUUCCGCGUGCAGGACGAAGGCCUUCGGGUUGUAAAGUGCUUUUGUGCGGAACGAAAAGGCUCUGGCUAAUACCUGGGGCUCAUGACGGUACCGGAAGAAUAAGCACCGGCUAACUACGUG